GAUGAACGCUGGCGGCGUGCCUAAUACAUGCAAGUCGAGCGAACGGUCGAGAAGCUUGCUUUUCUGAUGUAAGCGGCGUACGGGUGAGUAACACGUGGCUAACCUACCUAUAAGACUGGGAUAACUUCGGGAAACCGGAGCUAUUACCGGAUAAUAUUCUGAACCGCAUGGUUCAAAAUAGCAAGACGGUCUUGCUGUCACUUAUAGAUGGUUCCGCGCUGCAUUAGCUAGUUGGUAAGGUAACGGCUUACCAAGGCAACGAUGCAUAGCCGACCUGAGAGGGUGAUCGGCCACACUGGGACUGAGACACGGUCCAGACUCCUACGGGAGGCAGCAGUAGGGAAUCUUCCGCAAUGGGCGAAGGCCUGACGGAGCAACGCCGCGUGAGUGAUGAGGGUCUUCGGAUCGGAAAACUCUGUUAUUAGGGAAGAACAUAUGUGUAAGUAACUGUGCACAUCUUGACGGUACCUAAUCAAAAAGCCACGGCUAACUACGUG
RNAcentral lists this ribosomal RNA (497 nucleotides) under uncultured bacterium. RNAcentral's name for it is "partial 16S ribosomal RNA". It matches the Rfam family "Bacterial small subunit ribosomal RNA", at positions 28 to 507 of the family's 1533-position model. The record is from RNAcentral.